UCACUUGUCCCUUAAAUGAGGACGCGUAUGAAAGGCAACAUGAGAGAAGACCUGUCUCCUAAGGAAUGCCAAUGAAAUUGAACUGCCAGUUCAAAAGCUGGUAUAAAAAAGCAAGACAAAAAGACCCUGUGGAACUUUAAUUAACUGCUUUACAUAAUAAAACCAGUAAUUUCAGUUGGGACAACUUUAGAAAAAAUUAACUUCCUAAUUUUACUAGACUAACUAGUCCAAAACAACCAUGACCCAGUAAUACUGAUUAACGAAACAAGCUACCCCAGGGAUAACAGCGCCACCUUCUCAAAGAGUCCAUAUCAACAAGAAGAUCUACGACCUCGAUGUUGGAUCAGGGUACCCAGACGGUG
RNAcentral lists this ribosomal RNA (362 nucleotides) under Furcifer lateralis (carpet chameleon). Its description in RNAcentral is "partial 16S small subunit ribosomal RNA". It matches the Rfam family "Bacterial large subunit ribosomal RNA", at positions 1965 to 2555 of the family's 2925-position model. Lineage: Eukaryota; Metazoa; Chordata; Lepidosauria; Squamata; Chamaeleonidae. The record is from RNAcentral.